Molecule: ribosomal RNA, 253 nt
Filed under: uncultured bacterium
Lineage: Bacteria
Description: partial 16S ribosomal RNA
Rfam family: Bacterial small subunit ribosomal RNA
Source: RNAcentral
UACGGGGGGGGCAAGCGUUGUUCGGAAUUACUGGGCGUAAAGGGCUCGUAGGCGGCCAACUAAGUCAGACGUGAAAUCCCUCGGCUUAACCGGGGAACUGCGUCUGAUACUGGAUGGCUUGAGUUUGGGAGAGGGAUGCGGAAUUCCAGGUGUAGCGGUGAAAUGCGUAGAGAUUGGGAAGAACACCAGUGGCGAAGGCGGCUAUCUGGACGGUUUCUGACGCUAAGACGCGAAAGCGUGGGGAGCAAACAGG